This 79-nucleotide transfer RNA is filed under the name Candidatus Paracaedimonas acanthamoebae. RNAcentral describes it as "tRNA-Asn". Lineage: Bacteria; Pseudomonadati; Pseudomonadota; Alphaproteobacteria; Holosporales; Caedimonadaceae. The record is from RNAcentral. RNAcentral also lists the same sequence under 1 other name.
UCCAUAGAUACAGGUAUAUAUAAUAAGAAGGUGACUGUUAAUCACUGGGUCGGCGGUUCGAGCCCGUCCCGGGGAGCCA